Long non-coding RNA from Lepus europaeus (European hare), 1305 nucleotides. RefSeq lists it as uncharacterized. The transcript has 5 exons. The record is from RefSeq and is a predicted model, not a curated record. NCBI's taxonomy places the organism in Eukaryota, Metazoa, Chordata, Mammalia, Lagomorpha, Leporidae.
GUGUUGACGGAUCUCCAGGCUCUGGUGUGAUUCCUUUGCCGCUGACACUCAUCAUCCCGCUGGGCCCCUGAGCUCCCCAGGCUGGCCCAGAGGAGCUCCAUCGGACCUGCUGCCCCGUGACGAGCAGCAUUUCUCUACAGGUACUCUGUGUCCUUGUGCCUUGGAUCCAGGACUCCCACCUUAACCUCUCACUUCUAACUGGAAGAGGGACCACUGGAGAUGCUGAAUUCAAGCACCCUAUGAUGGGUUUGAGGAUUUCCAUGAAACUUCAUGCAAAAAGGAUUGAACCAAAGCUGAAACCUGAAGCUAAGACUGCAAUCCAGGUCUCCCAUGUGAAUGACAGGUUACAAGGAAGAGACAGCCACACCUGCAGUUCACAGAGGGAGAUUAUUGUAUGGAUCAUAUCAGGAAACAAGAAAGCCAGGGAAACCAUCUGAACACCUGUACAGCCAGGGUGAGACGUGGCCAGAAGUUACAAGUUUGUUCAGAUAAUACUGAUCCAGAUCCAUCAACAUGUCCAAUACUCUUGACCUCAGCCAUGGAAUCCCACUUCGAAGCAUAUUGCCAGUAGAGAUGUGGAGCCAUGUGCUCCUACUGGACUGUGACUUAAGAAGAAAGAGGAGCAACACAGCACAUACAGAGAACAUGGAAAACAGAGGGGGAAUUGGCACAAUGAAACCUGUUGGUCUCACCUAGCUCUUGUCUUCAUACCUCAAAGCCGCUUAAUGUAUUAGUUCUCAUAACCAACCAUCUUCCAAGCAAUAUAUUCUCUUUCACAAAUUCAAAUCCUGUUUUUGCUAACACCAAAAUGAAUUUUAUUGUUAGUCAUCUGCAGCUAACAAAAUUGAAGUUGAGAGAUUUGUUUAUUGACACAACCCAGAUCACUGCUUUGUACUGACCCAUUAUGUCUCUCACCAGCCAAGGAUUGUGAGAUAUUAAAAAGAGCAUUUUCAGAUCUUUACAAUGUUCUUUUUUUUUUUUUUGAAGCAUUAAAAAUAUCCAUUUGAGAAUGGUUCAUUGACAACAUUUCAGUACUGGUUUAGCACUUUGAUGUUCAAACCUGUACAGAGUUUGGGGGGAAAUUGUUUUCUAAAGCUUUAAAGAGAAAUGAUUUUGAGUGUUUGAUAUGUUUGUAAAUGCCCCUUGGGAUGUGGUGACCAGCAGCCGCUGCUGGGCUUUUCUUCCUGUGAACCCCUGAAUAGAGAUGGGUUUUCAAUGUCUAUGGGGAACUUGAUAAGCUUCCCAUAGGCAGGAAUGAGUCAUACAUUGUGCAAUAUUCUUUUAUACGAGACAAUUAUAAAGCCU